CCGUUUGCAGGUAAACAGAUGGACCCACGAAGUCCAGUUGAGCAAGGAAUUCAAAUUUCUCGGUUUGUUCUCUUCUGAUUCUUCUUUCCUUUCAGGAGAGGAGGUUGGUUUGAGAGCUGCCGAGAAAUGCAUUUUUCUUGCUCACGAUGGAGCUCUGACUGCUGUUCAACCUAAGUUGUGUAAGGCAGCCUUGGUAUGUGAGAUGCAUCUUAGGAUGCACUUCUACAUAUCAGGGUUCAUGACUAAGUUGGACCAAGCGGUUGAAUUACUUACUUAGGUGAGUUUUCAGGUUGUCAGUAUUUGUAGGCAAGUAGAGUGUGCUGGUCCUUAGAUUUUCGGCUCUUGCAGUUGAAGUUUAGGGAAGCUGUGCAUUCAUUAUACUUGUUUAUAAAUGCUAACGAUAAUCCAGAGUAAGUAGGUCGGUCAUCCAUCUGACCCGUCUUGAAACACGGACCAAGGAGCUCAACAUCUACGCGAGUCGCUCGGUCUUGAACAGGCCUGAGAGGCGAAAUAAAAAUAAUGGUAUGAUCCUUCUGAAUCUUUCGAGAUGAAGAAGGCGCAAUACCAACCUGCUUCAAGUGCUUAACGGCACUGAAGCGGCGUUCGAGCGUAGAUGUUGAUACCCGAAAGAUGGUGAACUAUACUUGGGCAGGACGAAGCCAGAGGAAACUCUGGUGGAGGUCUGCCGCGGUUCUGACGUGCAAAUCGAUCGUCAGACCUGAGUAUAGGGGCGAAAGACUAAUCGAACCAUCUAGUAGCUGGUUCCCUCCGAAGUUUCCCUCAGGAUAGCUGGAACUUAAUCCUCUGUAGCAUCCGGUAAAGCGAAUGAUUAGAGGUCUUGGGAUCGAAACGAUCUCAACCUAUUCUCAAACUUUAAAUGGGUGCAAGUGCUUGGCAUUCUUGAUUGAAGCCUCGUUGCGUAAGAGUCGUUCCAAGUGGGCCAUUUUUGGUAAGCAGAACUGGCGCUGUGGGAUGAACCAAACGUUGAGUUAAGGCACCCAAUGCCGACGCUCAUGAGACCCCAUGAAAGGUGUUGGUUGCUAUAGACAGC
Molecule: ribosomal RNA, 1051 nt
Filed under: Arrenurus refractariolus
Lineage: Eukaryota; Metazoa; Arthropoda; Arachnida; Trombidiformes; Arrenuridae
Description: partial large subunit ribosomal RNA
Rfam family: Eukaryotic large subunit ribosomal RNA
Source: RNAcentral